AAGAUGUGGGCCAUCAGCGUCAGCCUUCGGUACUUGAAGAGUGGUUAUCCCUGCUGUGUUCGCUUUAUUUAUGACGAAUCAUACAGGGACAUCCAGUUUUUCAGUAUCAAAUACUGCUUUGGAGGGCUUCCCGGACAGC
RNAcentral lists this microRNA precursor (139 nucleotides) under Chlorocebus sabaeus (green monkey). The record is from RNAcentral. Lineage: Eukaryota; Metazoa; Chordata; Mammalia; Primates; Cercopithecidae.